Vicia villosa (hairy vetch) is the source of this 1512-nucleotide long non-coding RNA. RefSeq lists it as uncharacterized. Lineage: Eukaryota; Viridiplantae; Streptophyta; Magnoliopsida; Fabales; Fabaceae. The record is from RefSeq and is a predicted model, not a curated record. The transcript is spliced from 4 exons.
UCUUCCUCUUCUUCUUUCUUCUUUCUUCUCUCUUCCAUCUUUUCCUCUUCUUCUUUUUUAUCUCUUAUUUCUUCCAUCUUUUCCUCUUCUUUUUUAUGUCUUCUGCUACCUUUGAUUUUGAAAUCCUAUUUUUCUCUCUUCAUUACUUCACUCUGCAUUUCUUCUUCUCCUAAGGAAUCAAACAUUUCAAGAAUGAUAAACGGGGUUACUAAUCGAAAUAGGGGAUACAACGACGGAUCUGGCAUUUUCAGCGAUUUUACGGUGGUGUGUGGUUUCGCGAUGGUGGAUCUAUCAUAAAGCUCCAAAACUUCUGCACAUAUUUUAUGAAUAUAUUAACUGGUAUUUUAUAUGUGCAAAAGUGCUUAACUUUAGAUUUUUAUUUUGUGCUUAUCUUUAGCAUGACUGUUGUAUCACUUCUUCAUUCUCUAAGAAUGUUCACAUUUCAAAGUCGUUGAAUGAUGGACUCUAUGGGAUGCAUCUUCACGUAUACAACUGGCCCGGGGGAGAACUGAAACAAACACUGGACCUUAGUGAAAAAGGACUUUUACCUUUGGAGAUUAGGUUCCUUCAUGACCCCGCUAAAGAUGCAGGUUUUGUUGGGAGUGCAUUGUCAAGUAACAUGAUACAAUUUUUCAAGAAAGAAGAUGAAUCAUGGGGCCAUGAAAUUGUGAUACAAGUGGAACCAUUGAAAGUGCAAGGUUUCUUCCUGAAAUGCCCAGGCUUAUAACUGAUUUUUUGAUUUCUCUUGAUGACCGCUUUCUGUACUUCGUAAACUGGCUUCACGGCGAUAUAAGACAAUAUAACAUUGAGGACAUCAAAAAUCCUAAACUAACCGGUCAAUUAUGGGUUGGUGGCCUUUUCCAGGAAGGAAGCCAUGUCGUUGCUGUUAAGGACGAUGGUGAAACUUUACAAGUUCAUGUUCCAGAGAUUCAGGGAUUUUAAACUUGGUACUCAUGUGUUGUCUUUGUGAAAUAGUCUAUAUGUAUAUAGCACUGCCAUGCCUGCAAGUAGGUAGUUUCAUUGUUUCUAUGAUGAUGUAGGUAAUUGUUAUUUCAUGGGGAUUUUCUAGAAUUUGAUUCUCAUAUUGAUUUUUGUGUUUUAGGUCAAGUAGAACAACUUUGUCUAAAUAGUGUUGCCGAUCAAUACUAUUCUGAAUCAUGACAUUGAUUAUGCUCCACCUGUUGCUUCUCAUGAUACCAUUCCAAUUGAUGCGGAUAUGGAGAUACCUCAUUGGAGUCUUUCGUCGAAUGAGGAGAAGCUGGCUAAAGGGGCACAACAUUGGCAGUUUUUUUUUAUGUUUAUAAAUUAUAGCGCAGGACACACUGCACUUGCAUUAUGAUCUCGAUCCAUUUGAUUCUAUUGCAACAACUGCAUUGGAUUUUGAAAUGAGUUCAUGGUUGAAAGUGACACUGAUAUUACUGGACCAAAAACUCUAGGGAUGCAGCCUCUUGCUUCUCAUGCAAAGCAGAUUCGAGAGGAUGUGUCCAAGCUUUCUUCCUUGUGAUAUUUUCG